This 447-nucleotide ribosomal RNA is filed under the name uncultured bacterium. Its description in RNAcentral is "partial 16S ribosomal RNA". It matches the Rfam family "Bacterial small subunit ribosomal RNA", at positions 329 to 793 of the family's 1533-position model. The record is from RNAcentral.
UCCCAGACUCCUACGGGAGGCAGCAGUGGGGAAUAUUGCACAAUGGGGGAAACCCUGAUGCAGCAACGCCGCGUGGGUGAAGAAGUAUUUCGGUAUGUAAAGCCCUAUCAGCAGGGAAGAGAAUGACGGUACCUGACUAAGAAGCCCCGGCUAACUACGUGCCAGCAGCCGCGGUAAUACGUAGGGGGCAAGCGUUAUCCGGAUUUACUGGGUGUAAAGGGGGCGCAGACGGCAGCGCAAGCCAGGAGUGAAAGCCCGGGGCCCAACCCCGGGACUGCUCUUGGAGCUGCGCGGCUGGAGUGCAGGAGGGGCAGGCGGAAUUCCUGGUGUAGCGGUGAAAUGCGUAGAUAUCAGGAGGAACACCGGUGGCGAAGGCGGCCUGCUGGACUGCGACUGACGUUGAGGCCCGAAAGCGUGGGGAGCAAACAGGAUUAGAUACCCUGGUAC